This 65-nucleotide transfer RNA is filed under the name Schistocephalus solidus. RNAcentral describes it as "tRNA-Phe". The record is from RNAcentral. Lineage: Eukaryota; Metazoa; Platyhelminthes; Cestoda; Diphyllobothriidea; Diphyllobothriidae.
UUUUUCUUAGCUUAAAUUAAGAGCGUUAGUUUGAAGCACUAGAAGUAACUUUAUGUUAGAGAAGC